Molecule: long non-coding RNA, 885 nt
Filed under: Homo sapiens (human)
Lineage: Eukaryota; Metazoa; Chordata; Mammalia; Primates; Hominidae
Description: LNC_000601
Source: RNAcentral
CUCCCCAAAGAUGCCCGGGGACUCGGGCCUAUAUCAUCCCAUUGAUCUUAGUCCACUCGUAGAUGUCCUGUUCGCACACUAUGUCAGAGUUGAUGAGGAGGUAUCUGUCACCUACACAGAAAUGCUUCUGACAGGCGGCGCAUUUGAAACAUUCCAGGUGAUACACUUUGUCUUUCACCCGCAUUGUCAUCUCAUAGGCACGAAUCCGCUUGUCACAGGAUGCGCAGAGACCGUCUUGCCCAAAAAGCCUGAGAUAGUCUCUCCGGCAGAGCUUCCGGCCCAGUUUGUAGUAGAGGCGCCGCCCCACCUCACCCAGCCGGCAGCCACAGAGGUCGCAGCUCAGGCAGUCCUCGUGCCAGUACUGGUCGAUGGCCUUCAGGAAGUAGCGGUCCCCAAUGUUCUGCUGGCAGCCGCCGCAUGUCAGCAGGGAUGGGGGGAUCUGCAGCACCUCAUCCACUGGUUCCUCUGAAGGGUCCAGGCUCUUCCUUUCGAUGGCCGAGGACAUUGGGGAGGGAGGCGGGGUGCCGGGCGGCGGGGGCGCUCCCUUUGUGGCGCGGGGCUGGCCGGCUGCCGGGGCUCGGACCCCCUCGGGUGCUCGGGCGCCGCCGCCGCCGCCGCCGUCGCCGCCGCUCCUGCGCCUCCGCUUGCUCCGGCGCUCCGCCGGCGAGCUCGCCCCUCCGCGCUCAAGGACAGUCACCGCGCUCCCUUCGGCCCGGGUCGCGGCGCGCUGCUCGCCGCCGAGGGCAGAGAGGGGGCGGCGGCCUAGGGGCGGGGAGGGGACCGUGCGUCUCUCUCCGGGCUUCCUCCUCUCUCGGGAAGGUCUAUUUUCGCUCAGCUUCCCUCUGUCUCUGGUUUCAUUUCCUUUUUCCUGAUCACGAUUCAAAU